This 253-nucleotide ribosomal RNA is filed under the name uncultured prokaryote. Its description in RNAcentral is "partial 16S ribosomal RNA". It matches the Rfam family "Bacterial small subunit ribosomal RNA", at positions 524 to 776 of the family's 1533-position model. The record is from RNAcentral.
UACAUGGGGUGCAAACGUUGCUCGGAAUUACUGGGCGUAAAGCGCACGUAGGCGGGUUUGUAAGUAGAGGGUGAAAUCCCCGGGCUCGACCCGGGAACUGCCUUCUAGGCUGCAAGCCUGGAGGUCAGGAGAGGCGAGUGGAAUACCGAGUGUAGAGGUGAAAUUCGUAGAUAUUCGGUGGAACACCAGUGGCGAAGGCGACUCGCUGGACUGAUACUGACGCUGAGGUGCGAAAGCGUGGGGAGCAAACAGG